RNAcentral lists this long non-coding RNA (235 nucleotides) under Elaeis guineensis (African oil palm). RNAcentral describes it as "long non-coding RNA (EGUI_LNC074252)". Lineage: Eukaryota; Viridiplantae; Streptophyta; Magnoliopsida; Arecales; Arecaceae. The record is from RNAcentral.
GCUUCUAAGAAAGCAAUAAGUCAUUCUUUGUCAUAGAAAGCACAUCAUCUUGUUGAAUUAGAAACAUGUGAACGAAGCAUACAAAAAUCAGAAAUAGGGAACACUACACAGUGAAACUGUGAAUGGCAAUGUUUUCAAAUAUUGGAAAAAACAUCUUGAGAUGGGAGGCACAACUGAACCGAUAGUACCAUUUAUUUAUUUUCUCAAGCUUUAAAUGUUAAAGAAAAUCAAUUGA